RNAcentral lists this ribosomal RNA (496 nucleotides) under uncultured bacterium. RNAcentral describes it as "partial 16S ribosomal RNA". It matches the Rfam family "Bacterial small subunit ribosomal RNA", at positions 28 to 507 of the family's 1533-position model. The record is from RNAcentral.
GAUGAACGCUGGCGGCGUGCCUAAUACAUGCAAGUCGAGCGAACAGACGAGGAGCUUGCUCCUCUGACGUUAGCGGCGGACGGGUGAGUAACACGUGGAUAACCUACCUAUAAGACUGGGAUAACUUCGGGAAACCGGAGCUAAUACCGGAUAAUAUAUUGAACCGCAUGGUUCAAUAGUGAAAGACGGUUUUGCUGUCACUUAUAGAUGGAUCCGCGCCGCAUUAGCUAGUUGGUAAGGUAACGGCUUACCAAGGCAACGAUGCGUAGCCGACCUGAGAGGGGGAUCGGCCACACUGGAACUGAGACCCGGUCCAGACUCCUACGGGAGACAGCAGUGGGGAAUCUUCCGCAAUGGGCGAAAGCUUGACGGAGCAACGCCGCGUGAGUGAUGAAGGGCUUCGGAUCGUAAAACUCUGUUAUUAGGGAGAAACAAUGUGUAAGUAACUAUGCACGUCUUGACGGUACCUAAUCAGAAAGCCACGGCUAACUACGUG